GACGAACGCUGGCGGCGUGCUUAACACAUGCAAGUCGAACGGAAAGGCCCUGCUUUUGUGGGGUGCUCGAGUGGCGAACGGGUGAGUAACACGUGAGUAACCUGCCCUUGACUUUGGGAUAACUUCAGGAAACUGGGGCUAAUACCGGAUAGGAGCUCCUGCUGCAUGGUGGGGGUUGGAAAGUUUCGGCGGUUGGGGAUGGACUCGCGGCUUAUCAGCUUGUUGGUGGGGUAGUGGCUUACCAAGGCUUUGACGGGUAGCCGGCCUGAGCGGGUCACCGGCCACAUUGGGACUGAGAUACGGCCCAGACUCCUACGGGAGGCAGCAGUGGGGAAUAUUGCACAAUGGGCGGAAGCCUGAUGCAGCAACGCCGCGUGCGGGAUGACGGCCUUCGGGUUGUAAACCGCUUUCGCCUGUGACGAAGCGUGAGUGACGGUAAUGGGUAAAGAAGCACCGGCUAACUACGUG
Molecule: ribosomal RNA, 468 nt
Filed under: uncultured bacterium
Lineage: Bacteria
Description: partial 16S ribosomal RNA
Rfam family: Bacterial small subunit ribosomal RNA
Source: RNAcentral